RNAcentral lists this ribosomal RNA (447 nucleotides) under uncultured bacterium. RNAcentral's name for it is "bacterial SSU rRNA". It matches the Rfam family "Bacterial small subunit ribosomal RNA", at positions 329 to 792 of the family's 1533-position model. The record is from RNAcentral.
GGCCAGACUCCUACGGGAGGCAGCAGUGGGGGAUAUUGCACAAUGGGGGGAACCCUGAUGCAGCGACGCCGCGUGGGUGAAGAAGUAUUUCGGUAUGUAAAGCCCUAUCGGCAGGGAAGAAAUUGGACGGUACCUGACUAAGAAGCCCCGGCUAACUACGUGCCAGCAGCCGCGGUAAUACGUAGGGGGCAAGCGUUAUCCGGAUUCACUGGGUGUAAAGGGAGCGUAGACGGCCAUGCAAGCCUGGAGUGAAAGCCCGGGGCCCAACCCCGGGACUGCUCUGGGAACUGUGCGGCUGGAGUGCGGGAGGGGCAGGCGGAAUUCCUGGUGUAGCGGUGAAAUGCGUAGAUAUCAGGAGGAACACCGGCGGCGAAGGCGGCCUGCUGGACCGCGACUGACGUUGAGGCUCGAAAGCGUGGGGAGCAAACAGGAUUAGAUACCCCUGUA